This 496-nucleotide ribosomal RNA is filed under the name uncultured bacterium. Its description in RNAcentral is "partial 16S ribosomal RNA". It matches the Rfam family "Bacterial small subunit ribosomal RNA", at positions 29 to 507 of the family's 1533-position model. The record is from RNAcentral.
AUGAACGCUGGCGGCGUGUCUAAUACAUGCAAGUCGAGCGAACGGACGAGAAGCUUGCUUUUCUGAUGUUAGCGGCGGACGGGUGAGUAACACGUGGAUAACCUACCUAUAAGACUGGGAUAACUUCGGGAAACCGGAGCUAAUACCGGAUAAUAUUUUGAACCGCAUGGUCCAAAAGUGAAAGACGGUCUUGCUGUCACUUAUAGAUGGAUCCGCGCUGCAUUAGCUAGUUGGUAAGGUAACGGCUUACCAAGGCAACGAUGCAUAGCCGACCUGAGAGGGUGAUCGGCCACACUGGAACUGAGACACGGUCCAGACUCCUACGGGAGGCAGCAGUAGGGAAUCUUCCGCAAUGGGCGAAAGCCUGACGGAGCAACGCCGCGUGAGUGAUGAAGGUCUUCGGAUCGUAAAACUCUGUUAUUAGGGAAGAACAUAUGUGUAAGUAACUGUGCACAUCUUGACGGUACCUAAUCAGAAAGCCACGGCUAACUACGUG